AUACUUACCUGGUAGGGGAGAUAUCAUGAUCAUUAAAGUGGUUCUCCCAAGAGGAGGCUCACUCAUUGCACUUCGGGUGUGCUGACGCUUGCGAUUUCCCCAAGUGCGGGAAACUCGACUGCAUAAUUUGUGGUAGUGGGGGACUGCGUGCGCGCUUUUCCCCU
This 164-nucleotide small nuclear RNA is filed under the name Monodon monoceros (narwhal). RNAcentral's name for it is "U1 spliceosomal RNA (ENSMMNG00015002184.1)". It matches the Rfam family "U1 spliceosomal RNA". Rfam says of the family: U1 is a small nuclear RNA (snRNA) component of the spliceosome (involved in pre-mRNA splicing). Lineage: Eukaryota; Metazoa; Chordata; Mammalia; Artiodactyla; Monodontidae. The record is from Rfam by way of RNAcentral.